UUUUAGCCCCGAUAGCAGUGAGAAUUCUUUUUUUUUUGCUUCUUAGCAAGCAAAAGAUUACUUCACUUAGCGUUUGU
This 77-nucleotide small RNA is filed under the name Flavobacterium psychrophilum DSM 3660 = ATCC 49418. Its description in RNAcentral is "Flavo-1 RNA". Lineage: Bacteria; Pseudomonadati; Bacteroidota; Flavobacteriia; Flavobacteriales; Flavobacteriaceae. The record is from RNAcentral.